This 253-nucleotide long non-coding RNA is filed under the name Gossypium raimondii (Peruvian cotton). RNAcentral's name for it is "long non-coding RNA (GRAI_LNC009850)". The record is from RNAcentral. Lineage: Eukaryota; Viridiplantae; Streptophyta; Magnoliopsida; Malvales; Malvaceae.
UUGAAGUUUGACCCUCAGGUCUUUUAUCAAAAAAAAAAAAAGAACAUUUUCCAAGGUGACAAUUGUAUCCAAAGACCCAAUCUCCAUUAGCAUCACAAACAACUCCUUCGGUGGCUGCAUUUCCAGAUCCUAGCUAAUUGCACUGCCCCAUCAGUGUUAAGAAAAAUUGGGUCUUCAAAAAAAAAAAUUUCAACGGGAGGUUUAAAACUACCCUUAAAACAUGCUCUCAAAGCUAAGAAGAGCUGAUUCGCCC